GACGAACGCUGGCGGCGUGCUUAACACAUGCAAGUCGAACGGUGAAGCGCCUUCCUUUUUGGUGGGUGUGGAUGAGUGGCGAACGGGUGAGUAACACGUGAGUAACCUGCCCCCUUCUUCUGGAUAACCGCAUGAAAGUGUGGCUAAUACGGGAUAUUCUGGGUCUGUCGCAUGAUGGGUCUGGGAAAGAUAUUGUUUCGGUGGGGGAUGGGCUCGCGGCCUAUCAGCUUGUUGGUGGGGUGAUGGCCUACCAAGGCGGUGACGGGUAGCCGGCCUGAGAGGGUGGACGGUCACACUGGGACUGAGACACGGCCCAGACUCCUACGGGAGGCAGCAGUGGGGAAUAUUGCACAAUGGGCGCAAGCCUGAUGCAGCGACGCCGCGUGAGGGAUGGAGGCCUGCGGGUUGUGAACCUCUUUCGCCAGUGAAGCAGGCCUGCCUCGUUUGUGGGUGGGUUGACGGUGGCUGGAUAAGAAGCGCCGGCUAACUACGUG
RNAcentral lists this ribosomal RNA (494 nucleotides) under uncultured bacterium. RNAcentral describes it as "partial 16S ribosomal RNA". It matches the Rfam family "Bacterial small subunit ribosomal RNA", at positions 28 to 507 of the family's 1533-position model. The record is from RNAcentral.